Mauremys reevesii (Reeves's turtle) is the source of this 3747-nucleotide long non-coding RNA. RefSeq lists it as uncharacterized. NCBI's taxonomy places the organism in Eukaryota, Metazoa, Chordata, Testudines, Geoemydidae. The transcript has 8 exons. The record is from RefSeq and is a predicted model, not a curated record.
AGCUGCUGCUCAUCCCCCCCCCCCGCGGAGCUGGCAGAGAGGGGACCCCACGCGUGGGCGCCCUCCCAGCAGGCCUGGUCUGUGCGGGGAAUCGGGGCUGCCGGCGGCUGGGGCCGUUUACAGCGGUCACCGGGCUGAGUUCGGAGUGAGUCCCAGUCCGGCGGCCACGGGGCUUGCCCCCCCGGCUGUGCCUGCCCGGCGGCGCUCCGCUCCCUGCUUACAAAGCGCCCCGCCGAGGAGGGGCCGGAGGCCGCCAGCGCUCAGCUGCAAACCCGCGGGCCCGCUCGUGGGCGGCUCGAGCUGGGGGAGCGACCCGCCGCCGGCCGGCUCUCCUGGGCAGCCCGCGGUGCCAUGCGGCUGGCGGGGAUUGUUCUGGGCAGGCUCCGCCCCGGUCCUGCCCCGCUGCCCCCGCGGGGGUGGGUUUCCUGAGAGGGGCCGGGCCCAGCGCAGAUCUGCCUCCAGCGCCGCAGCUCCCCCGGGACACUCCCGCUCCGCGCGGCUCGCAGCUGUGCCAAGGAGGCGCCUCCCUCCCGGCUCCAAACUCCUGUGACCCGCGGAGCCAGAGAUCGUCCUUGCAAAUGACAUUAUUACUGGAGGCUUUUGGCCAACCGCUCACUUCCCGUGAUGCCCUGCGGGCGGUGGUGGUGUAAUCUGCUAAAUUUUCGUUGUCUCCGACUUUUCUGGUGAAAGCACAAGGCUGAUAACAGUUACCCCACAUCCUGGACCUCGAAGUAUCGGCUUUGAAGCGGCUCUGCGCUCCAGCCAACAGAGGGUGAUUUACAUCAACUAGUCAGUCUCUAGAUGCUUCCCGGGGAAUCUACAGCUGAGCCAAAGUGAGCAAAUGCUCCCAACCCUUCCCCGCACCUCCCUCUCCCAUUCCCAGUGUAUCUCCAUCCCUGCCCGCAGCACGCACCUGUAGCAGGAGCAGAGCUCCCCUAUCUUGGUGUCGGAGUUUGAGGCAGAGUAACACCGCCUAUUGCACUGUUGAGUGCAAGGAAUGACAUGCAAUCAAGGGAUUUGCCUGACAUCAACACCUAAUUACAAUAAUUUAGCGGUGUGUGAAUGACAGCAAGCUCCAUUUUUGGUUGAAUUACAAUUAAAGGGAGAUAAUUAUGCCCUGCGCAGUACAAUGUAUUAAUAUUUAUGGCGUGGUGAAGACCUGGAGGUUUCUUUCAAUGGGAGGACGGAGCAUGCCAGAGGUUUUCAGCGCAGUGUUCUGUGGGACUGGAAAGUUUGCAGUGCGCAUAAAGCAGGAAGAUCGCGGCUGGGUUUGAUACAGUUGAAGGAAUCCAGAUCAACCAGCUGGGGUGAGAGAGGAUUAUAUAGAGAGAGAGAGCCAGAUGUCUGAAUUUUUCUUUAUAAACAUUUUAUCCCUCAUCAACCACGUCCCUCACCACAAGCCGGGCUCCCCUUUAUUUGUCUUUUCCUCUCGGAUCACUGGGGGUUUCCACGCCUCGUUAGUAGAUUGAGGUUUAAAUGGGUAGAAUUAAUGUCUAAACGCCAUUAAUUUACUUUAACUACACACAUGCGCGCUUGCCGAGCGUUUGUGUCCAGCUGCUCCCUAGGCACACGAUAUGUUAUUCACCUCAAGGUGGGAGGAGGCCACGAAGUGACUUGUGCUUCUAAUUUUAUACCUUCCAAAUUCUCUUUUCUGUUUUGCGUUCCCAUUCUGGCCAGAAUCUCCAAUCAGCUGCUCACCCAUGCAUGGGCGGUCAGCUGCCAACGCCUUUUAAAGGCAAUUUACUAACCAUUUGCAAAGCCUGCCCAACGCUGAUCUAAAUAACACACAGAGGGAGAAACCUGGCGCUGUGGGAAGCUGGAAUUUCACAACAACUUUUUUCAAGAAGAGGGGAGAAAGCUAAAAGAACAAAAUCAAACCACGUAAAUCCCAACUCCCUCCGCGAAAAACAAUCCCAAAUCAUUACAAAUCCCGCUUUGACGCAACGCCUUGAAACGCAAAUCUCCCCCCCCCCCCCCGCAGCUGCUGCUGCUGCUGCUACAUGGGGUGGUUUUUACUGCUGCCCCGCGUGUCCCUUCCCACGCUCAGAGCAGCAGCAGCAGCGCCUGGUGCUGAUCAAUUCUGAUGUAAUAAAAUAAACCAGUGAGUCCUCUGGGACCCUCGGAACGCGGCUCCCAUGGCAACAGGGACUAUAUAACCUGUGUAGCUGCUGCAGGCUUUAGCUGGAGCUGCUGCGAUCCAUCGGUCUCCAGGGAGCUGUGAUCUCCGCACACCAAGCACAGGGAGAAGCCAUCCAGCACCGCGUUGUUAUACCAGAGAGAUCUAGGGCCGGAUUAACCAAAACCCAUAAAGGAAUCACUCAGGAAGGAACCUAGCUAAUACAGAAGCUCAUUGGAACUGCACUGGAAAGCCAUUUCUGCCUGAAUACGUUCAGGGCAGCAGGUGUGGGAGGCAGACACUUGGUCUCCAAGGGAGUUACCUGAAGCAUAAGCAAGAGGCAGGCUUAGGGUUUUGCUUUUCGGGUUAUUGCUGAGUAUAUGAGAGCAGCAGAAGUACCUGAGUAAGUAAGGGUGAUAUUACAAGAAAGCUUGGAUGAAGGGGCAGUGUGCGUACUGAGUUCUGAAUGCUGUGACGUUACCAGUCCUGUGUCGUUAACCCACAGAGAUCUGUCCUAUGCAUAUCUGCAUUCGCCCAUGAACAAAUAGUGCUGAGGGGCCAGUCAUCAGAAGCCAGGGCAAUUUGGCUUUGGUUCACAGAGAAGCAAUCAAAAAAAAUCAAACAAUUGGUAAUCAUCAUGAAAGCUGGGCUACAGCAAGAAAGAUGAUGCAAAAAUCAGUGAGUAGCUCAAUACAACAGGGACAGUAAUAUGCUUUUAAUUAUAUAAAUUGAAAGACAAGUGGAGAAAAGCAUGUUAAAAAUGGUCAUAUUCCUGAGAAGUGUAAAGACAUGAAACAGCAAUGAAUUUGGAAGAAAGGACACUGGACUAAACAUCAAAUGGAGACCUCGAGAUGGGAAACGUACAGAAAAAGAGGAAGCAAUGGAAAAAUGUGCUAAAUAAAUUCUGUGAUGGAAACAGCUGGAUUAUAUUCUCUUGGGACUGAGAAAAAGAGAAACAGAAUGGAGAGAUCAUCUUCACCUGUCAGUGCUCAUAAUGAUGACAGAUAUAACAUCCAAGCAUUCUCAUCAUUCUGUAGUACUUCAUCUCAUUCCAUAACAAAGUGUUUCAAAAGAUUUCAGGAUGAACCACCUAAACACGUGAAAUGCCCUGUCCCUAUGGAGGGAAUGAGAGAGGAGGGAGGAAUAUCCCUACAAAGACAAGGCCCCUGGCUCCACGCGCUUGCACGCUGAAUAGACAGGAAGAAACGGGGGAGAGGAUGCAACAAAAAAGCAGCUGGUCUUGUGUAUGGUGGCAUCUUGUUAGUUCCAUGUUGUUAAGUCUCUGUGUUACUAGACUCCACUACAGGCUCAUUUUGUCAGGGGCAAACCUGAUGAGCCAAGACCAGAGACAACCCCCUGUAACCACUUUAAAGAGAAGCAGCCCAUUUACUCUUCCCCCCACCUUCAGCAAUCCUGCAGUACCAUCUACGUAGCAUCUGGAAGCAACAUGUAAUUGGGAAGGAAAGUCUCCGCCAUUUGUAGGUCCAUCUCUACAAGGAAACGCUGGUGAGUGUGAUGGUCACCAGCAGCUACAGCCUUUAUUCUACUGAUGCUUCCGCUCAGCAAUAAACCAAGAACUAAUGGGGAAAAGAUGGUGAGAUAGAGAUGGAGGAAGGCUGAGUCCGAGAGUU